RNAcentral lists this ribosomal RNA (465 nucleotides) under uncultured bacterium. RNAcentral's name for it is "partial 16S ribosomal RNA". It matches the Rfam family "Bacterial small subunit ribosomal RNA", at positions 28 to 507 of the family's 1533-position model. The record is from RNAcentral.
GACGAACGCUGGCGGCGUGCUUAACACAUGCAAGUCGAACGGAAAGGUCCUGCUUGCCGGGUACUCGAGUGGCGAACGGGUGAGUAACACGUGGGUGAUCUGCCCUGCACUUCGGGAUAAGCCUGGGAAACUGGGUCUAAUACCGGAUAGGAGCCAUUUUUAGUGUGAUGGUUGGAAAGUUUUUUCGGUGUAGGAUGAGCUCGCGGCCUAUCAGCUUGUUGGUGGGGUAAUGGCCUACCAAGGCGGCGACGGGUAGCCGGCCUGAGAGGGUGGACGGCCACAUUGGGACUGAGAUACGGCCUAGACUCCUACGGGAGGCAGCAGUGGGGAAUAUUGCACAAUGGGCGCAAGCCUGAUGCAGCGACGCCGCGUGGGGGAUGACGGCCUUCGGGUUGUAAACUCCUUUCGCUAGGGACGAAGCUUUUUGUGACGGUACCUAGAUAAGAAGCACCGGCUAACUACGUG